CUGUAACCCCAGCGCCUCGGAUUUAAUAAGCCCUCAAGUGUUUGGUAAUCGGAAUUAACCAGCGCUGAGAAUGACAACCCGCAGAGAAGCGCCGGUAGUGGCAACCAAACGUUUGUUUACUAUGUGCCUGCUGUUGCAUUUUACAUGGAUUAUCCAAAUCCUCUCUACAGUCUAGUGAGGCAUGUAUUUCUAAGUGGCCUUUUUUUUUUUUUUUUAAUUUCAGUCGAGGAAACUGAGGCACAGAAAGGAUAAUUUGCGGGCUGGGGUUGUGGCUCAGUGGUAGAGCGCUUGCCUAGCACGUGUGAGGUACUGGGUUCCAUCCUCUAGCACCACAUUAAAAAAAAAAAAAAAUGAAGUUGUGUCCACACACAACUAAAACAUAUUUAUUUUUUUUUCUUAAAGGAUAAUUUGCUCAAGAUCACAGAAUGAGCAUGCAGCAAGACUAAGAUUAAAGUAAAUUUCCUCUACACUUAACUAUAAUGAAGUAACAGUUUUUAGUUUAAACGGAUUAUAUAUGUCAAAUAUGGUCUAAUUAAUUGACUAAAAACUCUCCCAAUAUAUGCACAUUUAUGACUUCACAUUUGCAAACAUGUUCUGAGUGCUUACUUGCAUCUUCUUUGAUGUAUCAUUAUAUUGGAAAUUUUUCUUGCACAACAAUGUGAACAACUCUGAGGAUGCCAAAAAGAUAAACCUGUAAAGAGUAUUGAAAACUAAAUGGGCCAGUAAAGCAAAACAACAAAAUAAAACUGAAAGAUGAUUCACAG
RNAcentral lists this long non-coding RNA (764 nucleotides) under Marmota monax (woodchuck). The record is from RNAcentral. Lineage: Eukaryota; Metazoa; Chordata; Mammalia; Rodentia; Sciuridae.